RNAcentral lists this ribosomal RNA (447 nucleotides) under uncultured bacterium. RNAcentral's name for it is "bacterial SSU rRNA". It matches the Rfam family "Bacterial small subunit ribosomal RNA", at positions 355 to 825 of the family's 1533-position model. The record is from RNAcentral.
UGGGGAAUCUUGGACAAUGGGCGCAAGCCUGAUCCAGCCAUGCCGCGUGAGUGAAGAAGGCCUUCGGGUUGUAAAGCUCUUUUACCAGGGACGAUAAUGACGGUACCUGGAGAAUAAGCCCCGGCAAACUUCGUGCCAGCAGCCGCGGUAAUACGAAGGGGGCUAGCGUUGUUCGGAAUUACUGGGCGUAAAGCGCACGUAGGCGGAUUGUUAAGUCAGAGGUGAAAUCCCGGAGCUCAACUUCGGAACUGCCUUCGAUACUGGCAAUCUAGAGUCCGGAAGAGGUUAGUGGAAUUCCCAGUGUAGAGGUGAAAUUCGUAGAUAUUGGGAAGAACACCAGUGGCGAAGGCGGCUAACUGGUCCGGUACUGACGCUGAGGUGCGAAAGCGUGGGGAGCAAACAGGAUUAGAUACCCCCGUAGUCCCUGAGCGGGCUGGCAAGGCGCAU